GGGGAUUUAGCUCAGUGGUUGAGCACUUGGCUAGCAAGCCACAAAGGCCUUGGAUUUAUUUAAUCCCCA
Molecule: transfer RNA, 69 nt
Filed under: Dipodomys ordii (Ord's kangaroo rat)
Lineage: Eukaryota; Metazoa; Chordata; Mammalia; Rodentia; Heteromyidae
Rfam family: tRNA
About the family: Transfer RNA (tRNA) molecules are approximately 80 nucleotides in length. Their secondary structure includes four short double-helical elements and three loops (D, anti-codon, and T loops). Further hydrogen bonds mediate the characteristic L-shaped molecular structure. tRNAs have two regions of fundamental functional importance: the anti-codon, which is responsible for specific mRNA codon recognition, and the 3' end, to which the tRNAs corresponding amino acid is attached (by aminoacyl-tRNA synthetases). tRNAs cope with the degeneracy of the genetic code in two manners: having more than one tRNA (with a specific anti-codon) for a particular amino acid; and 'wobble' base-pairing, i.e. permitting non-standard base-pairing at the 3rd anti-codon position.
Source: Rfam by way of RNAcentral